UCCAGACUCCUACGGGAGGCAGCAGUGGGGAAUAUUGCACAAUGGGGGAAACCCUGAUGCAGCGACGCCGCGUGAGUGAAGAAGUAUCUCGGUACGUAAAGCUCUCUCAGCAGGGAAGAAAAUGACGGUACCUGACUAAGAAGCCCCGGCUAACUACGUGCCAGCAGCCGCGGUAAUACGUAGGGGGCGAGCGUUAUCCGGAUUUACUGGGUGUAAAGGGAGCGUAGACGGUUCUGCAAGUCUGAAGUGAAAGCCCGUGGCUUAACCGCGGAACGGCUUUGGAAACUGUGGAACUGGAGUGCUGGAGAGGCAAGCGGAAUUCCUAGUGUAGCGGUGAAAUGCGUAGAUAUUAGGAGGAACACCAGUGGCGAAGGCGGCUUGCUGGACAGUAACUGACGUUGAGGCUCGAAAGCGUGGGGAGCAAACAGGAUUAGAUACCCUUGUA
This 445-nucleotide ribosomal RNA is filed under the name uncultured bacterium. Its description in RNAcentral is "bacterial SSU rRNA". It matches the Rfam family "Bacterial small subunit ribosomal RNA", at positions 330 to 792 of the family's 1533-position model. The record is from RNAcentral.